This 497-nucleotide ribosomal RNA is filed under the name uncultured bacterium. RNAcentral's name for it is "partial 16S ribosomal RNA". It matches the Rfam family "Bacterial small subunit ribosomal RNA", at positions 28 to 507 of the family's 1533-position model. The record is from RNAcentral.
GAUGAACGCUGGCGGCGUGCCUAAUACAUGCAAGUCGAGCGAACAGACGAGGAGCUUGCUCCUCUGACGUUAGCGGCGGACGGGUGAGUAACACGUGGAUAACCUACCUAUAAGACUGGGAUAACUUCGGGAAACCGGAGCUAAUACCGGAUAAUAUAUUGAACCGCAUGGUUCAAUAGUGAAAGACGGUUUUGCUGUCACUUAUAGAUGGAUCCGCGCCGCAUUAGCUAGUUGGUAAGGUAACGGCUUACCAAGGCAACGAUGCGUAGCCGACCUGAGAGGGUGAUCGGCCACACUGGAACUGAGACACGGUCCAGACUCCUACGGGAGGCAGCAGUAGGGAAUCUUCCGCAAUGGGCGAAAGCCUGACGGAGCAAAGACGCGUGAGUGAUGAAGGUCUUCGGAUAGUAAAACUAUGUUAUUAGGGAAGAACAAAUGUGUAAGUAACUAUGCACGUCUUGACGGUACCUAAUCAGAAAGCCACGGCUAACUACGUG